Non-coding RNA from Saccharomyces paradoxus NRRL Y-17217, 178 nucleotides. The record is from Rfam. Lineage: Eukaryota; Fungi; Ascomycota; Saccharomycetes; Saccharomycetales; Saccharomycetaceae.
GAACGUUUGACAACACUCUGGGACCAAGUUUCGAUGAUAAUAUUUCUUAUUUCCAUCGAUACCAUUCACUGUACUUAGUUCCAAUUUAUAUUGCAAACAAGAUUGAUUUUAGGCGAUUACUCACUAAGAUAUACCUAUUUCUACUAUGGUUAUAUUAGUCCAUUUCAUAGCCUUACAU